AUGGCGGACGCCGUUGCUGGCGCCGUCGACUACCGCGGCCGGCCCGCCUCCCGCGCCGCCACCGGCGGCUGGAAGUCCUCGGUGUUCGUCAUGGCAAUGGAGAUCGCCGAGCGGUUCGCGUACAAGGGCGUGGCGGCGAACCUCAUCACGUACCUCACGGGGCCGCUGGGCCAGCCCAUGGCGCGCGCCGCGGCGUCCAUCGACGCCUGGAAGGGCGUCUCCCAGAUGCUGCCGCUGCCGGUGGCCUGCGUCGCCGACGCCUGGCUCGGCCGCUACCGGGCCAUCGUCCUCGCCUCCAUCCUCUUCGUCGUGAGCAUGGGCACGCUGUCGCUGUCGUCGGCGUUCCACAUCUUCCGCUCCGGCGGCCACGUGGCCGUCUUCUACGUCGCGCUCUACCUGGUGGCGCUGGGCGAGGGCGCGCACAAGCCCUGCGCGCAGGCGUUCGCGGCCGACCAGUUCGACGAGAAGGACCCCAAGGAGAACGUGGCGCGUAGCUCCUUCUUCAACUGGUGGUACUUCGGCAUGUGCGCCGGCACCGCCGUCACCACCAUGGUCUCGAGCUACGUCCAGGACAACGUCGGCUGGGGCCUCGGCUUCGGCAUCCCCUGCAUCGUCAUCCUCGUCUCCCUCGCCGUCUUCCUCAUUGGCACUCCCUCCUACCGCUACUACACCACCAAGGAGCCCAGCCCCGUCGCCCGCGUCGGCAAGGCGCUCCUGGUGCUCAUCAAGAGCUGGAGAUCAAAGCACCGCACCAAUCCGGCGAGCGGCAAGGUGGAGGCCAAGAACUCCGACGAGGACCUGGUGGAGGAGGUGAGGAGCGUCUUCCGCCUGCUGCCCAUCUGGGCGUCCUGCAUAAUCUACGCCAUCAUCUUCUCCCAGACCUCCACCUUCUUCACCAAGCAGGCGGCCACGCUGGACCGCCGGAUCGGCCCCAAGUUCAAGGUGCCGCCGGCGGCGCUGCAGACCUUCAUCAGCGUCAGCAUAGUGGCCUUCAUCCCGGUGUACGACCGCCUCUUCGUGCCGCUCGCGCGCCGCUACACGGGGCGGCCCACGGGCAUCACCAUGCUGCAGCGGGUCGGCGCCGGCCUCUCCCUCUCCCUCGUCGCCGUCGUGCUCUCGGCGCUCGUGGAGAUGAGGCGGCUCGGCGUCGCCAGGGACGCCGGCCUGGUGGACGCCCCCAAGGCGCACCUGCCCAUGACGCUCUGGUGGAUGGUGCCGCAGUACGUCCUCAUCGGCGUCUCCGACGUGUUCGCCAUGAUCGGCCUCCAGGAGUUCUUCUACGACCAGGUGCCCGACGCCGUGCGCAGCCUCGGCCUCGCGCUCUUCCUCAGCAUCUUCGGGGUGGGCCACCUCCUCAGCAGCUUCCUCAUCUCCGUCAUCGACAGGGCCACGGCGAAGCGCGGCGCCAGCUGGUUCUCCAACAACCUCAACCGCGCGCACCUCGACUACUUCUACUGGCUGCUCGCCGGACUCUGCGUCCUCGAGCUCGUCGCAUUCUUCUUCUUCUCGCGAGCCUAUGUGUACAAGAAGAAGAGCGACGAUGGCGAUUACAGGGGAGGUGAUGCAGAUGCUGAUGCUACAUUGGUGUAA
This 1590-nucleotide ribosomal RNA is filed under the name Triticum aestivum (bread wheat). RNAcentral's name for it is "partial small subunit ribosomal RNA". The record is from RNAcentral. Lineage: Eukaryota; Viridiplantae; Streptophyta; Magnoliopsida; Poales; Poaceae.